This 511-nucleotide ribosomal RNA is filed under the name uncultured bacterium. RNAcentral's name for it is "partial 16S ribosomal RNA". It matches the Rfam family "Bacterial small subunit ribosomal RNA", at positions 30 to 523 of the family's 1533-position model. The record is from RNAcentral.
AUUGAACGCUGGCGGCAUGCCUAACACAUGCAAGUCGAACGGCAGCACAAUAAAGAUUUCGGUCUUUAUGGGUGGCGAGUGGCGGACGGGUGAGUAACGCGUAGGAAUCUGUCCUGGAGAGUGGGAUAACCCGAGGAAACUCGGGCUAAUACUGCAUGACAUUGAGAGAUCAAAAGCAGGGGACCGAAAGGCCUUGCGCUCUGGGGUGAGGCUACGUCGGAUUAGCUAGUUGGUGGGGUAAAGGCCUACCAAGGCGACGAUCCGUAGCUGGUCUGAGAGGAUGACCAGCCACACUGGGACUGAGACACGGCCCAGACUCCUACGGGAGGCAGCAGUGGGGAAUCUUGGACAAUGGGGGAAACCCUGAUCCAGCGAUGCCGCGUGUGUGAAGAAGGCCUUCGGGUUGUAAAGCACUUUAGGUGGGGAAGAAAGGUAGCGAGUGAAUAACUUUCUGCUGUGACGGUACCCACAGAAUAAGCACCGGCUAACUCUGUGCCAGCAGCCGCCGCCG